UUGAGUGCUGGUACAAACCAACAAAUAGUCAAACCAAGUCUAAGAUCGGAUCGAUAUCCCUGAACUUCUCGAACAAAUCCAUAGCCCUGUAAAUUGAACAAUUAUCUCAACCAAACUCCAUGCCAAAGUCCUCAUAAUCAUCAUCGUGCUAGUCAAAAUUUUCUAUGUACCCAAAAUUCAAGCAUUUUGCCGCUCUCUUGUUUUAGCUCUUAGAGGCUUGCUUUUCUUUGGCCUUCUGGAUUUUCAAAACUUUCUUAACAAUCUUCUGCUCUUCAACCAAAAAAGCUCGAAUGAUCCUACAAAACCAACUAGUGUAUUAGAACAUAUACAAGACGAGAGCAAUGUAAAUAAUCAAACUCGAUACAAGCCUGGCAAAUGAAGUGGUUACUGACCUUUCCCUGACAGCACUGCCUGAUAAAACUCCACCAUAAGCACGGUUCACAGUCCUCCGGUUUCUAGACAAUCUAGACCUCUUGUACUCAGCAGGUCUUAGGUGAGGAAUCUAAAAGUACAAAAUAGACAUCAUGCUUCCUCGUAUGUAGGCAACAAUUAAGAAGAGAAAUUAAUGCUACAGAAGCAACAUCUUAAGUUAUCCACUCAAAUAUUAAAACCUCAAAAACCUCCAAAGUUUCCAAAAUACAUCAUGCAACAAUAUGACAAAUCAGAGCAACAAAUAAUACACAUACUAAAUCGGCUAUAGGCGGAAACUAUAUAGUACUAGUCAAUUGGCACUGUUGAGAUCAAGACAAACCCCAGGCAGACAACAGUGAUAAACAAGCUCAAGUCAAUGUCCACUAACCUAAGCAAUUGCACAUUUGUUGCAAAACUGUCGCAUCAGAAAUGCAUUUUGAUAGGCAACUGACUAUUGGCCUACCAUGCACAUUAUUUUAAUAUGGUAUUUAAUGCAUAAAGCCCACUCUCAAAAAGGUCUAAAAAUAUUUUAUAAAUUUUAAACAGUUGCACACUUGACCACUAUUCACAUUCUCAUGCAUUCUUCUCUUCAUCACCAAGACUGCAAAAAGUAACUAGAUUAAUGAAGUUCAGAGAAUCAAAAAAGUAACCCACAGAAUGGAAUUUCAAUCCAUGAUUCGAGUAUGAGAAAGGAUCCUGAUAACAGGCACUCAUCCUUCAUUUAAGUAUAUGAUCCAAUGGAAAGAGUAUGACUAGAUUUCAGAACUAGAUAUGAGAUAUUCAAAAAGGCAGAGCACUAUCUGAGAAAAGAUAAACGACAAAGCAACUUUAGAAAAUGAUAUUUCUGAAAUUUAAAACUUUUCAAACACCAACCAGGUUCCCCAUAUGCCAUAAUUCAAAAAGAAUCUUAAUCACCUUAACUUGCGAGUCAUACGGUGUUCCACAAUUUCCAAAUAGGGAAACAAUUCUUCCUCUAUACCGUUUAAGAAAAAUCAAAAAGUACAUCAACCAAUUUCCACUCUACUCAAUUUUCAAUUACGUUUCUUUGGUCAUCCAGUAGAAGCAAUAGUUGAGAAAUAUAAACCAGUUAAAAAUAUCUCGCACAUCAUAUUCAAAACACCAAGAGCAGAAAGUUUGUUGAUCAAAUUCAAAGAAAUUGUUAAGUUUAUCUGCGUAACUGGUAAUAGAACAAAAAAGUUGAACUCUAAUGCUGCCAAGCAAGAUCAAAUAAAACAGUACACUAACUGCAUUUUAAGAAUGUAAUAUGGAAACCAAAAUGUUUUCCUAAACGACAAACAAAAUGCAAAGUAUAUUCCAAGAAGGCAUGUCAAAACGGAUUCCUACAAUAUGUAUGGUAACCUUAGUUAAAGUGCAGGGUUUCAAUGAAUAUAUGAAAUAUAAUGCUAAUAAAGACAGUAUCCAUGACAUUAAAAUCCAAAACAGGUCUUUGUAGUCUAGCUGAGGCCAUUUCCUGCAUGUAAAGAAUGAUAGUACACCUUGGACAUGGACAUGUUGAAUACUUCCAAUCAAAAUCGAUUCUUUUUUUUUUAUAAAAGGGGAAGGGGGGGUAUCAUCAUGGACAAAUCCCAUUAUGAUCACCACAUUUUCCUUCUUUUUAUGUUUUUAAGGAAAAUAACAGCUGUAUGUAUUAGAUAUAGGAUCUUUGAAUCUCUUCAUAGUUGAGAUCAAGAUUCGUUGUCUUAGUACUGGACCCCAUACCAGUACCAUUCUAUUAUAGUUUCGGUAUGCGGUACGGUAUGGUAAGAUUCAAAUACCGAGUAUUGGUAGGAUAUGGUACUCCAUACCGGUUCGGUAUCGAUAUUGUAUGGUACGCCUGGUACAAUAUGGUCCCAACGGUACGGCAAAUUUUGGUUGAGAUUUUUUUAAUAGAUAGAAGGGGGUAUAGUCAAAGAUUUAUCUGCAAAGAUUUUGCUUUUGCUUAGAUACAUGUUCAACAUUCAUAUUGCGUUAUAACAUGUUCCACGAUCAGAGUGGAGGGUAGAGAAUGUCUUGAACCUGUUUUCUUUUCUGACAUAGCCGACUUGUGGGUUGUGUUCACAGUAGACACACACAUGCAGAAAGAUUCAGUCAAGACUGGAUCAGAUGAACAUACGAGAUUUUAGGUGUUACAUGUGUUGAGCAAUAAGGAAAAGAUAAGCAAAGAGACGGAGAUAGAAUCUAUGUGAUGUGAUCUUCCUUUCCAAAAUACCCUGUCUAUAAUCAUUAUGAAUAAGGAUUAUCACGAGAAUUUUAAUUAGUUAUUCACCUAAAGGAAAAUUAUACAAACUUCAUAACCCCAACUUGUUGUUUAUAGAUGCACAUAGGGAUGGCAAUGGGUAAGAUCAUGCUUGAGUUCGAUCAAGUAAAGACAAGAACAUACAAAACCUUGACUCAACCCAACAACGGGUUGAGAUCUCUUGACGUAUACUCACCAACAGGUCAUUUCGGUUUACCCAUUUAAACCUAACUUAAUCUAUUUUGUACUCAAGUUCGUAAAAAAUCUAUGCUGACCUAUCAAAUCCAACAUUUACAGUUCUUGCCGCUUAAUUUGAAAAUCAUUUCACAACUGGUAUCCAAAAAAAGACUACUUAAUUCAAAAAUUCUUAUCCAAGAUCAUGACUCAACCAAACCUAAACUAUUUCUAUCCAAAUAGAACUGUAUCCUUAUGACUCAAGCCAUGUCAAAGCUUGGGCCAAUAUCUGACACAUUGAAAUUCCGGUAGAAAAUCUGAGUUGUAGCUGAUCCUAGCUAAAAGUCUUGACCUCAGGGUGGGGCAAUUUUUGCUGCCCCUAUAUGCAUACACUAGUAUAUACAUACAUACGUACAUGAAAAUACAUAGAAAUACCUUUGUUUUUUUAAAACAUGGUUCAUGGGGCUGCAUAUGAAUGUGCAUAAGCAAAUGUGGUGUGUCGACUGCACUGUAUUGCCUAAAUGUGGUUGUGAUAUACAACAUACCGCAUAUAUGCGGAACAAUGAAAAUGAAUUAGGUUAAGAAUGAUGGUCAGGUUUCAUAUGGGUUUACAUGGGCCCAUACAGUGUUAAUAAGGUUAUAUGGUGAUUAAGUUAUAAAUAUAACUAUUAGGUAUAAAGUAUCAACAAAUAAGCACUAGAUUUUAGUUGUUAUUGUUACUAAUAUGGCUACUAUUUAUCAAAAAUAGAUUACUACAACUAAUUUUGCUUUUGUUAUACUUCAUAUAUUUAAUUUAUUUAUAUAUAGUUAAAAAAGCAGCUGCACAAGCACCUGUUGUGC
Molecule: long non-coding RNA, 3661 nt
Filed under: Phoenix dactylifera (date palm)
Lineage: Eukaryota; Viridiplantae; Streptophyta; Magnoliopsida; Arecales; Arecaceae
Description: long non-coding RNA (PDAC_LNC004404)
Source: RNAcentral